RNAcentral lists this ribosomal RNA (986 nucleotides) under human gut metagenome. RNAcentral's name for it is "bacterial LSU rRNA". It matches the Rfam family "Bacterial large subunit ribosomal RNA", at positions 1945 to 2925 of the family's 2925-position model. The record is from RNAcentral.
ACGGUCCUAAGGUAGCGAAAUUCCUUGUCGGGUAAGUUCCGACCUGCACGAAUGGCGUAAUGAUGGCCAGGCUGUCUCCACCCGAGACUCAGUGAAAUUGAACUCGCUGUGAAGAUGCAGUGUACCCGCGGCAAGACGGAAAGACCCCGUGAACCUUUACUAUAGCUUGACACUGAACAUUGAGCCUUGAUGUGUAGGAUAGGUGGGAGGCUUUGAAGUGUGGACGCCAGUCUGCAUGGAGCCGACCUUGAAAUACCACCCUUUAAUGUUUGAUGUUCUAACGUUGGCCCCUAAUCGGGGUUGCGGACAGUGUCUGGUGGGUAGUUUGACUGGGGCGGUCUCCUCCUAAAGAGUAACGGAGGAGCACGAAGGUUGGCUAAUCCUGGUCGGACAUCAGGAGGUUAGUGCAAUGGCAUAAGCCAGCUUGACUGCGAGCGUGACGGCGCGAGCAGGUGCGAAAGCAGGUCAUAGUGAUCCGGUGGUUCUGAAUGGAAGGGCCAUCGCUCAACGGAUAAAAGGUACUCCGGGGAUAACAGGCUGAUACCGCCCAAGAGUUCAUAUCGACGGCGGUGUUUGGCACCUCGAUGUCGGCUCAUCACAUCCUGGGGCUGAAGUAGGUCCCAAGGGUAUGGCUGUUCGCCAUUUAAAGUGGUACGCGAGCUGGGUUUAGAACGUCGUGAGACAGUUCGGUCCCUAUCUGCCGUGGGCGCUGGAGAACUGAGGGGGGCUGCUCCUAGUACGAGAGGACCGGAGUGGACGCAUCACUGGUGUUCGGGUUGUCAUGCCAAUGGCACUGCCCGGUAGCUAAAUGCGGAAGAGAUAAGUGCUGAAAGCAUCUAAGCACGAAACUUGCCCCGAGAUGAGUUCUCCCUGACUCCUUGAGGGUCCUGAAGGAACGUUGAAGACGACGACGUUGAUAGGCCGGGUGUGUAAGCGCAGCGAUGCGUUGAGCUAACCGGUACUAAUGAACCGUGAGGCUUAACCUU